GCCGGCAUGAUGUUUAACGGCAAGCAUGUCUGCCUUCCAAGCAGAACGUCCCGGUCCGAAUCCGGGUGUCGGCUCCA
RNAcentral lists this transfer RNA (77 nucleotides) under marine sediment metagenome. RNAcentral's name for it is "tRNA-Gly". It matches the Rfam family "tRNA". From Rfam's summary of the family: Transfer RNA (tRNA) molecules are approximately 80 nucleotides in length. The record is from RNAcentral.